This 1624-nucleotide ribosomal RNA is filed under the name wastewater metagenome. RNAcentral's name for it is "bacterial LSU rRNA". It matches the Rfam family "Bacterial large subunit ribosomal RNA", at positions 1396 to 2925 of the family's 2925-position model. The record is from RNAcentral.
GCGAGGCCGAGAGGCGUAGUCGAUGCACAACUGGUUGAUAUUCCAGUACCACCAUGUUCGCGUCCGUCCCAAUACUCUGUUGCUAAGGGGCUGUGUUGACUUCGGUCAACGCGAACCGACCCACAUUGUUGCGGGAAGCUGUAGGGGGACGCAGGAAGGUAGAUGAACCCGGUGAAUGGUAGAACCGGGGUAAGCGUGUAGGAGGAGGAACAGGUAAAUCCGGGCCUCAUAAACUCUGAGACGUGAUACCGAGCCGCUUCAGGCGAAGUCAUUGAUCCUAUGCUGCCUAGAAAAGCCCAGCAGCGAGUUGACAUGGUGCCCGUACCCCAAACCGACACAGGUGGACAGGUAGAGCAUACCAAGGCGAGUGGGAUAACUAUGGUUAAGGAACUCGGCAAAUUAGCUCCGUAACUUCGGGAGAAGGAGGACCCCAGUAGCGUGAUGAGACUUGCUCUCUGAGCGUGAAGGGGUGGCACAAAAUUGAGGGAAGCGACUGUUUACCAAAAACACAGCAGCGUGCUAAGCCGUAAGGCGCUGUAUACGCUGUGACUCCUGCCCGGUGCUGGAAGGUUACGGGGAUGGGUUAGUCCUUCGGGACGAAGCUCUGAACCUAAGCCCCAGUAAACGGCGGCCGUAACUAUAACGGUCCUAAGGUAGCGAAAUUCCUUGUCGGGUAAGUUCCGACCUGCACGAAUGGAGUAACGACUUCCCUACUGUCUCAACCAUAGACCCAGCGAAAUUGAAGUACGAGUAAAGAUGCUCGUUAGCUGCAGAAGGACGGAAAGACCCCGUGGACCUUUACUAUAACUUGAUGUUGUGUUUUGUCAUAUGUUGUGUAGGAUAGGUGGGAGACUUGGAAGCAUGGACGCUAGUCUGUGUGGAGUCAUCGUUGAAAUACCACCCUGCAUAUGGUGAGGCUCUAACCUAGACCCGUUAUCCGGGUUGGGGACAGCGUCAGGCGGGUAGUUUAACUGGGGCGGUUGCCUCCUAAAGAGUAACGGAGGCGCCCAAAGGUUCCCUCAGCCUGGUUGGCAAUCAGGCGUUGAGUGCAAUGGCAAAAGGGAGCUUGACUGCGAGACCUACAAGUCGAGCAGGAGCGAAAGCUGGGCAUAGUGAUCCGGCGGUUGCGUGUGGAAGCGCCGUCGCUCAACGGAUAAAAGGUACCCCGGGGAUAACAGGCUAAUCUUGCCCAAGCGUCCAUAGCGACGGCAAGGUUUGGCACCUCGAUGUCGGCUCAUCGCAUCCUGGGGCUGAAGCAGGUCCCAAGGGUUGGGCUGUUCGCCCAUUAAAGCGGUACGCGAGCUGGGUUCAGAACGUCGUGAGACAGUUCGGUCCCUAUCCUCUGCAGCCGGAGGUGAAUUGAGGAAAGCUGUCCCUAGUACGAGAGGACCGGGACGGACGCAGCUCUCGUGUGCCAGUUGUCCUGCCAAGGGCAUGGCUGGUUAGCGACCUGCGGAAAGGAUAACCGCUGAAAGCAUCUAAGCGGGAAGCCUCUUCCAAGAUGAAUUCACCCACAGGGUUAACCUGGUAAGGCCCGUGGUAGACCACCACGUUGAUAGGCCGGAAGUGUAAGCGUGGCAACACGUUCAGCUGACCGGUACUAAUCGGCCGAGGGCUUGAGUUC